RNAcentral lists this ribosomal RNA (253 nucleotides) under uncultured bacterium. RNAcentral describes it as "partial 16S ribosomal RNA". It matches the Rfam family "Bacterial small subunit ribosomal RNA", at positions 524 to 776 of the family's 1533-position model. The record is from RNAcentral.
UACAGAGGGUGCGAGCGUUAAUCGGAAUUACUGGGCGUAAAGCGUGCGUAGACGGUUAUUUAAGUCGGGUGUGAAAGCCCCGGGCUCAACCUGGGAAUUGCAUUCGAGACUGAAUAGCUAGGGUACGGUAGAGGGAAGCGGAAUUUCCGGUGUAGCGGUGAAAUGCGUAGAUAUCGGGGGGAAUACCAGUGGCGAAAGCGGCACCCUAGCGUUAGCCUGACGCUCAUGUGCGAAAGCGUGGGGAGCGAACGGG